UCAGUCGUAAAGUCUGUGGUAGGGAAGACAAGUACCAGAGUAACUGCUGUACCUGACGGUACUAACAGAAACACGCUAACUACGUGCAGCAGCGCGUAAUACGUAGCUGCAGCGUGUCCGGAAUUAUGGCGUAAAGCGCGCGCAGGCGGUUCUUAAGUCUGAUGUGAAAGCCACGGCUCAAACGUGGAGGGUCAUUAGAAACUGGGAACUUGAGUGCAGAAGAGGGGAGUGGAAUUCCACGUGUAGCGGUGAAAUGCGUAGAGAUGUGGAGGAACACCAGUGGCGAAGGCGACUCUCUGGUCUGUAACUGACGCUGAGGCGCGAACGCGUGGGGAGCGAACAGGAUUAGAUACCCUGGUAGUCCACGCCGUAAACGAUGAGUGCUAAGUGUUAGAGGGUUUCCGCCCUUUAGUGCUGCAGCAAACGCAUUAAGCACUCCGCCUGGGGAGUACGGUCGCAAGACUGAAACUCAAAGGAAUUGACGGGGGCCCGCACAAGCGGUGGAGCAUGUGGUUUAAUUCGAAGCAACGCGAAGAACCUUACCAGGUCUUGACAUCCUUCGCUACUUCUAGAGAUAGAAGGUUCCCCUUCGGGGGACGAAGUGACAGGUGGUGCAUGGUUGUCGUCAGCUCGUGUCGUGAGAUGUUGGGUUAAGUCCCGCAACGAGCGCAACCCUUGAUCUUAGUUGCCAGCAUUCAGUUGGGCACUCUAAGGUGACUGCCGGUGACAAACCGGAGGAAGGUGGGGAUGACGUCAAAUCAUCAUGCCCCUUAUGACCUGGGCUACACACGUGCUACAAUGGAUGGUACAAAGGGCUGCAAGACUGCGAAGUCAAGCGAAUCCCAUAAAACCAUUCUCAGUUCGGAUUGCAGGCUGCAACUCGCCUGCAUGAAGCCGGAAUC
This 902-nucleotide ribosomal RNA is filed under the name uncultured bacterium. RNAcentral describes it as "bacterial SSU rRNA". It matches the Rfam family "Bacterial small subunit ribosomal RNA", at positions 419 to 1333 of the family's 1533-position model. The record is from RNAcentral.